This 254-nucleotide ribosomal RNA is filed under the name uncultured bacterium. RNAcentral describes it as "partial 16S ribosomal RNA". It matches the Rfam family "Bacterial small subunit ribosomal RNA", at positions 526 to 779 of the family's 1533-position model. The record is from RNAcentral.
CGUAGGUGGCAAGCGUUGUCCGGAAUUAUUGGGCGUAAAGCGCGCGCAGGCGGUUCCUUAAGUCUGAUGUGAAAGCCCACGGCUCAACCGUGGAGGGUCAUUGGAAACUGGGGAACUUGAGUGCAGAAGAGGAAAGCGGAAUUCCACGUGUAGCGGUGAAAUGCGUAGAGAUGUGGAGGAACACCAGUGGCGAAGGCGGCUUUCUGGUCUGUAACUGACGCUGAGGCGCGAAAGCGUGGGGAGCAAACAGGAUU